CACGUAGGGGGCGAGCGUUGUCCGGAUUUAUUGGGCGUAAAGAGCGUGUAGGCGGCCUGACAGGUCUGCUGUGAAAACUCGAGGCUCAACCUCGAGAUGUCGGCGGAAACCGUCUGGCUAGAGUCCGGAAGAGGAGAGUGGAAUUCCUGGUGUAGCGGUGAAAUGCGUAGAUAUCGGGAGGAACACCGGUGGCGAAGGCGGGUCUCUGGGCAGUAACUGACGCUGAGGAGCGGAAGCGUGGGGAGCGAACAGG
RNAcentral lists this ribosomal RNA (253 nucleotides) under uncultured bacterium. RNAcentral describes it as "partial 16S ribosomal RNA". It matches the Rfam family "Bacterial small subunit ribosomal RNA", at positions 524 to 776 of the family's 1533-position model. The record is from RNAcentral.